AAUAUCCUGCAAAGAAACAAAAUACACCCAGCCCCAGCAAAUCAACUGCUGAACCUAUGGAUAUAGGUUUUAUAAAGGGACCAUUAACCCCUGAGGAGAAGAUCCGACGAAGGGCUAAUAACCUCUGCUUAUACUGUGCUUCAGACAAACACACUGUCAGGGACUGUCCUUCCCUCCUGAAACAAAACAAGGUGGGAGUCACGUCGAAUCAACGCUCCCGCGAUUAUUGACUCAGGAGCUACAGCCUCCUACAUAGAUACUGUAUUCACUAAAUUCAAUAAAAUUCCACUUGUGCAAAAAA
Molecule: long non-coding RNA, 301 nt
Organism: Bombina bombina (fire-bellied toad)
Lineage: Eukaryota; Metazoa; Chordata; Amphibia; Anura; Bombinatoridae
Exons: 2
Source: RefSeq, a predicted model, not a curated record